GGCAUCAGAGGCAAGCAAGAUUAAUGGUGAGGAGCUGGACCUCAGAUGGGAGCUAACGAUUCCAGCCUCACUCCUUUGAACUGUAUCCUGAAAAACUGGGAUAGAUUUGAUCCCCAGGGCUUAAAGAAGGCACACCUGGUCUUCCUAUGUGAUACUGCAUGGCCGCGGUACCCACUGGAGGACGAUGGGCCUGAUAACCUAUGUGAGCUUACUUCUGCUGGCUCCAAGAAUCCUGAGUCUGCCGUUUGAUCCUCAAGACAAUGCCUUCCUGUCCUGGGCUCACUCCUAUGCUGCAUUCCUCAACCAGUCUAACUGCUGGGUCUGCGGAGCACUCCCCUCUUCAUUGGUGGAAGGCUUCCCGUGGUGGACACCUCCACUUAAAAAAAAAGACUGAACAAUCUGAAGAAUCCAUGAGUUAAUCACACAUUUAAGAUACUUACCCUUAUUUUUAAUCUUAAAAAUCGCCUGCCUGAAAACUUGGGAGUUCAGGUCCUUUAAAUAUUUGCUGCACAUUCUCUUGCUUGACACCCUGCAAAUAAAUGCUGUACUUUCUUUCACCC
Long non-coding RNA from Bos taurus (domestic cattle), 560 nucleotides. NCBI's taxonomy places the organism in Eukaryota, Metazoa, Chordata, Mammalia, Artiodactyla, Bovidae. The record is from Ensembl.